Molecule: ribosomal RNA, 372 nt
Filed under: uncultured bacterium
Lineage: Bacteria
Description: bacterial SSU rRNA
Rfam family: Bacterial small subunit ribosomal RNA
Source: RNAcentral
UACGUAAGGGGCAAGCGUUGUUCGGAUUUAUUGGGUGUAAAGGGCGCGUAGGCGGUUUGACAAGUCUGGUGUAUAAGGCAACAGCUUAACUGUUGUUUUGCGCUGGAAACUGUCAGACUUGAGUUUAGGAGGGGGAGCUGGAAUUCCAGGUGUAGGGGUGAAAUCUGUAGAUAUCUGGAAGAACACCGGUGGCGAAGGCGAGCUCCUGGCCAUAGACUGGCGCUGAGGCGCGAAAGCGUGGGGAGCGAACAGGAUUAGAUACCCUGGUAGUCCACGCUGUAAACGAUGUACAUUAGGUGUCGGGCCAAGAGGUUCGGUGCCGUAGCAAACGCGUUAAGUGUACCACCUGGGGAGUAUGCCGGCAACGGUGAA